Molecule: non-coding RNA, 475 nt
Organism: Chrysemys picta bellii (western painted turtle)
Lineage: Eukaryota; Metazoa; Chordata; Testudines; Emydidae
Source: RefSeq, a predicted model, not a curated record
CAAGUGAUGCAUGCAGCUCUUUACAGGGAUUUCUGGCUACAGAUUGUAUCAGGUGCACCUAGGAUCCCAUGGGUCAACACGUCACAGUCCACAGAACCCUAUAAAUACUGGGACAAUCUGUCUCAUCUUCCAUCUCGCUUUGCCUGGUGCAUCUUCUCUGCAGUGACACUGAGAUCUCAGCCGACUUUCAGCCAUGAAGGGCCUCUACCUGCUCUGUGUUGUUGCCCUCCUCCUCUUCCAUGCUGGUCCAGGUAAUGGCGACCCGAUUUCUCCCUGUGAGUCCAGUGGUGAUGGUCUCUGCAUAGGGUCUUUGGAAAUAUGCCGUUCUGGUAUAUUUCUGGAUCUAAUAUGCUUUUCAGGACGCUGCUGUAAAAAAUAGCGAAUAUGCUGAGCCGAAGUAAUAUACAAGGAGACGCCUCGCAGCAUCGUGAGAGAGAUUUGUACCCCUUCUUUGAAUAAAAUAUGUCCCAUCACA